RNAcentral lists this ribosomal RNA (407 nucleotides) under uncultured bacterium. RNAcentral's name for it is "partial 16S ribosomal RNA". It matches the Rfam family "Bacterial small subunit ribosomal RNA", at positions 30 to 526 of the family's 1533-position model. The record is from RNAcentral.
AUUGAACGCUGGCGGCAGGCCUAACACAUGCAAGUCGAGCGGCGCGGCGGACGGGCGAGUAAAGCCUAGGCAUCUGCCUGGUAGAGGAGGAUAACGUCCGGUAACGAGCGCUAAUACCGCAUACUAUCAGAUGAGCCUAGGUCGGUUAGGCUGGUUGGUGGGGUAAAUGCCUACCAAGGCGACGAUCCGUAACUGGUCUGAGAGGAUGAUCAGUCAGACUGGAACUGAGACACGGUCCAGACUCCUACGGUAGGAAGCAGUGGGGAAUAUUGGACAAUGGGCGAAAGCCUGAUCCAGCCAUGCCGCGUGGGUGGAGAAGGUCUUCGGAUUGUAAAGCAUUUUAAGUUGGGAGGCGUUACCAACAGAAUAAGCACCGGCUAACUUCGUGCCAGCAGCCGCGGUAAUAC